RNAcentral lists this ribosomal RNA (1529 nucleotides) under human gut metagenome. RNAcentral's name for it is "bacterial LSU rRNA". It matches the Rfam family "Bacterial large subunit ribosomal RNA", at positions 445 to 1983 of the family's 2925-position model. The record is from RNAcentral.
AGCGGGGCCCAUCCCGUAAGGCUAAAUACUCCCGAGAGACCGAUAGCGAACCAGUACUGUGAAGGAAAGGUGAAAAGCACCUCGAACAGAGGAGUGAAAUAGUCCCUGAAACCGUCUGCCUACAAGCGGUCGGAGCACAUUAAAGUGUGACGGCGUGCCUUUUGCAUAAUGAACCUACGAGUUACUUUCUCCGGCAAGGUUAAGGGCUUCAGGCCCGGAGCCGAAGCGAAAGCGAGUCUUAAUAGGGCGUGAUAGUCGGAGUGAGUAGACGCGAAACCAAGUGAUCUACCCUUGGUCAGGAUGAAGGUUGGGUAACACCAACUGGAGGUCCGAAUGGGUAUACGUUGAAAAGUGUUCCAAUGAACUGAGGGUAGGGGUGAAAGGCUAAUCAAACUUGGAGAUAGCUCGUACUCCCCGAAAUGCAUUUAGGUGCAGCCUUUAUUUAGUAUAGCAUGAGGUAGAGCGACUGAUUGGAUGCGAGGGCUUCACCGCCUAUCAAGUCCAGAUAAACUCCGAAUGCGUGCUAUAUAUUGAUAAGGAGUGAGGGCGCGGGUGCUAAGGUCCGCGUCCGAGAGGAGAAGAAUCCAGACCAUCAGCUAAGGUCCCCAAAUAACAGUUAAGUUGAACUAACGAAGUCGGACUGCAGAGACAGCUAGGAUGUUGGCUUGGAAGCAGCCAUUCAUUUAAAGAGUGCGUAACAGCUCACUAGUCGAGGAGUCCGGCGUGGAUAAUACUCGGGCAUAAACUGUUUACCGAAGCUAUGGAUGUAGAAAUACAUGGUAGGGGAGCAUUCCAACGGCGUCGAAGGUGAAGGAUGACCUUUGCUGGAGCUUUUGGAAACGCAAAUGUAGGUAUAAGUAACGAUAAAGGAGGUGAGAAACCUCCUCGCCGAAAGACUAAGGUUUCCUGAUCAACGUUAAUCGGAUCAGGGUAAGUCGGGACCUAAGGUUAAGCCGAACGGCGAUACCGAUGGAAGAAUGGUUUAAUAUUCCCAUACUACUUUAUGGAGCGAUGUGGAGACGGAGAAGUGAAAGUCCUGCCAUCUGACGGAAUAGGUGGUUGAAGAGUGUAGAUGUAGAUUCCUGUAGGCAAAUCCGCAGGGAGAGUCGACCUUGACAGUAUGCCGCGUGCUUGCACAAGGCAAAAUGGACGUAAUCAGGCUCCCAAGAAAAUCCGCUAAGCAUAUUCAUAAAGUACCCGUACCGUAAACGGACACACGUAGUUGGGUUGAAAAUACUGAGGCGCUCGAGUGAUUCACGGUUAAGGAACUAGGCAAAUUGACCCUGUAACUUCGGGAUAAAGGGUCCCUACUGAGAGGUAGGGCGCAGAGAAUAGGUCCAGGCAACUGUUUAACAAAAACACAUGGCUGUGCGAAAUAGAAAUAUGAAGUAUACAGCCUGACACCUGCCCGGUGCUGGAAGGUUAAGAGGAGAGCUCAUCGCAAGAGAAGGCUUGAAUUGAAGCCCCAGUAAACGGCGGCCGUAACUAUAACGGUCCUAAGGUAGCGAAAUUCCUUGUCGGGUAAGUUC